This 1329-nucleotide long non-coding RNA is filed under the name Triticum aestivum (bread wheat). Its description in RNAcentral is "long non-coding RNA (TAES_LNC013805)". Lineage: Eukaryota; Viridiplantae; Streptophyta; Magnoliopsida; Poales; Poaceae. The record is from RNAcentral.
CAAACUGCGUUUCAGAAUAUUGGCAUAUCAAAUAGGUCUCAAGAUUACACGACCAUACAUGACCCAAAAACAUAUAUUAUAUUUUGCAUAUCUAAGAAAGUACUACAAGCCUAAUGAGUUCCAUACGAUUUACAUUAACCCUAGCGAUCCAUCUAGGGAAUGUAGAAUGCAAAACAAAAUAGUAACUAUGCAUGAUAUAAUGGUUCAGGCAAUUUGCAUAAGCUAAAUUGCCCUCAAUCUUCAAAACUUCGCUUUGUUGCGUGCCUUGAAUAAGAUUGUUAAACUAGUCACCAUCAUCGCCAGAGUUAGUAUCUCAUUCAUCGCCAUAUGGAUCAUAAUGUUUAUGGCACGAGAUAUCCCCUGCCUUGAUGUCAUAGGUGUUAUCGUCAUCAUCAUUAAUGGAAUGAUUAUUGUCAUGACUCAGACCGCCUCCAAUAUUGCUUCCCACCCCCCUAUAAAAUGAUAACUUGUAAGAGAGAUGAAAAAUGAUGUAAUGUACUGUAGUUAAAUUCAGUUGAGCCACAGGGAACAAACUUUUAUAGGGAAGCUAUAGGGAAUAAAAUUAAUUGUUCUAUAUUGUACUGGAGUAUCCAUGGACUAGGAACUCAGUGUACGUCAGCAUUUACUAGUGCUAGACCAGUGGUUCGCUCCUUUUCAAACCAUGCAUCCGGGGAAUAGAAACUAAAUGUAAAUGGGAACAAUACACAAAUAAAACUAGUUCACUCGUUUGCACCUUUUAUCCACAAACUUAUAUACUAGUAAUUUUGACCUUUUAAUAUAGUUCCCUGGUACAUGUGAUAAUUCGUUUUUAGUAAUCAACUCUGCAAUUUAGCAAAGAGGAAUGAUUUAUGAACUUAAAGUAAAUCCAGAAAGUUACUAAGUGAAAUAGUUAAGUGCGGCACAACCAUGGCAAGCUUUGUCAUCAUCCGAAUAUGCACAUACUUUCUCAUCUUACUUUGUUCCUGUAUAACUAGUUGUACAAAGCGAAGCUGCUGCAACUACUACUACUACUCCCUAGUAGAAUUUCCACCAUAGUUGUGUGAUUUGUGCAGUUUUGACAUCUUAGCUCGCAAAGAUUUGACAUUAGAAAUAUAUCAGACUAGACUAGCUGGGGAUUGCAGCCUUAACUUGCGGAGUACUACAAUACGGUAAUUGGUAAUGGAACUGAACAGAGGUGGUACACCUACCUGAAGUCGGCCAUCUCACUGGAUUGGAUCUUUUUGGGCAGUGACUCGUAGAAAAUUCUGAGAGGUUCCCUCUGUCAAAUUUAAAAAAAAAAUCAGAUGAAUGAAAACAUAUAUGUACUUUUUGGACAGUGACUCGUAGAAA